UUUUAAGCCAUUAGGGUUUAUUCUUGACUCUUGAUUCAUGAUAAGGUACGGUUUAGGAAAUUACAUUUAAAUUACUUUGAAACUCUGAAGCGAUAGAGUAGCCUAAUAGGCUAUAUGUAAAAUUAUUUUAUGCACUUAGGUGAAAAUUGUUUUUCAUUUCUUGAUUAAUAAUUCCUUUUGUAAAACUUACUUGGCAAUAAAUAUCUUUCUGAUUCUGAUUAGGUUUUAAAAUAGAUAUUUAAUUCAUGGUAUGAACAAUUUAGCUGAAUAAAUUGAUGAAGUUAGACUUUUCACUAAUGCCUGGCUACAUCAGUGAACAGUGAAAGACAUCUGCAACAUGGCCAAAAUCUUGGGUAGGUCUAUACUUUAUAAUUUUUAUUAAUUUGCAACCAUGGUAAUAGCCUAUCAUAAACAGGAAAAUCUCUUGUUUUGACCUGAUCAGAAGGAUAAACUAAAAUCUAAAAGCUCCUCUGGUUUCACAGCUGCACUGGCAGAUUUAUGAAAUAUUUAGGAAAUAUUUCGUCUUUCUGCCAUUCCAGGAAAUGUCAUUUUAUGUCUUUCAUUUUUUUCCAACCUCGAUUUUUUUUUUUUUUUUUUUUUUACUUUUUACAUGUAUAAGGGAUUAAUUUGCAAUUGCGACCUGUACAAAUGUUUAAGACAGUAAAACACUUAAAAAAAUGUAAACACAUUAUAAAUGUUAGAAAGUAUAGGUUUUCACCAUUGCUGUGUUCAGGAUUUUUUUUGGGCGGAGUUAAAACGUGGCUCGAUGACGCACUGGAGCCACUGAGCUCCUGGCCCCUCCCCAAACAACAUAACUAGAGCACACAUUCGCGUCAGUUCGCCGUUCAAUCGCGAGUUUCUGUGGACUACCAUCGUUUAAAAUGUUGGCAAGAGGCGAUGAGAUAUUUGGUGCGCUUCCAAACAGGUUCUAGCGUUGAAACGACGGACGAUGACAAGAAGAGAAAGAGAAAGAGAAUCUCAAAUUCCAAGUACAGACCCCAGGCCUCUUCUGAUGAAGAGGAGUCUAGUCUUCCAGAUGCACCAGCAGUGCUGUCGUUUGGACAACCUCUUUUGAGCUUUGAAAACAUUGUUCCUGGUAACAAGGUUUCAGUGCUGCCUGAUGCUCCAGAAGUUGCAUCGAUUCCAGAAAACCAGGAAAAUGUUGUGCCAUCUGUAGACUUCAGAGGUGAACCAGGUUUCUCCCCAGAAAUUCAGACUCCACUUCACAGAGCCAAGAGUUUGAGUACAAGUAAGUGA
RNAcentral lists this long non-coding RNA (1257 nucleotides) under Carassius auratus (goldfish). Its description in RNAcentral is "lncRNA (ENSCARG00000040050.1)". Lineage: Eukaryota; Metazoa; Chordata; Actinopteri; Cypriniformes; Cyprinidae. The record is from RNAcentral.